RNAcentral lists this ribosomal RNA (345 nucleotides) under uncultured bacterium. Its description in RNAcentral is "partial 16S ribosomal RNA". It matches the Rfam family "Bacterial small subunit ribosomal RNA", at positions 449 to 795 of the family's 1533-position model. The record is from RNAcentral.
CCUACGGGUGAACAAUCCGGAGGACGGUACCGAGAGAAGAAGCCCCGGCUAACUCCGUGCCAGCAGCCGCGGUAAUACGGGGGGGGCAAGCGUUGUUCGGAAUUACUGGGCGUAAAGGGCUCGUAGGCGGCCAACUAAGUCAGACGUGAAAUCCCUCGGCUUAACCGGGGAACUGCAUCUGAUACUGGAUGGCUUGAGUUCGGGAGAGGGAUGCGGAAUUCCAGGUGUAGCGGUGAAAUGCGUAGAUAUCUGGAGGAACACCGGUGGCGAAGGCGGCAUCCUGGACCGCCUGACGCUGAGGAGCGAAAGCCAGGGGAGCAAACGGGAUUAGAUACCCUAGUAGUC